RNAcentral lists this ribosomal RNA (1167 nucleotides) under Campylobacter jejuni. RNAcentral's name for it is "partial 23S ribosomal RNA". It matches the Rfam family "Bacterial large subunit ribosomal RNA", at positions 1 to 1188 of the family's 2925-position model. The record is from RNAcentral. Lineage: Bacteria; Pseudomonadati; Campylobacterota; Epsilonproteobacteria; Campylobacterales; Campylobacteraceae.
AGGUAAGCUACUAAGAGCGAAUGGUGGAUGCCUUGACUGGUAAAGGCGAUGAAGGACGUACUAGACUGCGAUAAGCUACGGGGAGCUGUCAAGAAGCUUUGAUCCGUAGAUUUCCGAAUGGGGCAACCCAAUGUAUAGAGAUAUACAUUACCUAUAUAGGAGCGAACGAGGGGAAUUGAAACAUCUUAGUACCCUCAGGAAAAGAAAUCAAUAGAGAUUGCGUCAGUAGCGGCGAGCGAAAGCGCAAGAGGGCAAACCCAGUGCUUGCACUGGGGGUUGUAGGACUGCAAUGUGCAAGAGGUAAGUUUAGCAGAACAUUCUGGAAAGUAUAACCAUAGAGGGUGAUAGUCCCGUAUGCGAAAAACAAACCUUAGCUAGCAGUAUCCUGAGUAGGGCGGGACACGAGGAAUCCUGUCUGAAUCCGGGUCGACCACGAUCCAACCCUAAAUACUAAUACCAGAUCGAUAGUGCACAAGUACCGUGAGGGAAAGGUGAAAAGAACUGAGGUGAUCAGAGUGAAAUAGAACCUGAAACCAUUUGCUUACAAUCAUUCAGAGCCUUAUGUAGCAAUACAGGGUGAUGGACUGCCUUUUGCAUAAUGAGCCUGCGAGUUGUGGUGUCUGGCAAGGUUAAGCAAACGCGAAGCCGUAGCGAAAGCGAGUCUGAAUAGGGCGCUUAGUCAGAUGCUGCAGACCCGAAACGAAGUGAUCUAUCCAUGAGCAAGUUGAAGCUAGUGUAAGAACUAGUGGAGGACUGAACCCAUAGGCGUUGAAAAGCCCCGGGAUGACUUGUGGAUAGGGGUGAAAGGCCAAUCAAACUUCGUGAUAGCUGGUUCUCUCCGAAAUAUAUUUAGGUAUAGCGUUGUGUCGUAAUAUAAGGGGGUAGAGCACUGAAUGGGCUAGGGCAUACACCAAUGUACCAAACCCUAUCAAACUCCGAAUACCUUAUAUGUAAUCACAGCAGUCAGGCGGCGAGUGAUAAAAUCCGUCGUCAAGAGGGAAACAACCCAGACUACCAGCUAAGGUCCCUAAAUCUUACUUAAGUGGAAAACGAUGUGAAGUUACUUAAACAACCAGGAGGUUGGCUUAGAAGCAGCCAUCCUUUAAAGAAAGCGUAAUAGCUCACUGGUCUAGUGAUUUUGCGCGGAAAAUAUAACGGGGCUAAAGU